RNAcentral lists this non-coding RNA (263 nucleotides) under Paenibacillus sp. RNAcentral describes it as "T-box sequence". It matches the Rfam family "T-box leader". From Rfam's summary of the family: Uncharged tRNA acts as the effector for transcription antitermination of genes in the T-box leader family. T-boxes are found upstream of many aminoacyl-tRNA synthetase genes and some amino acid biosynthetic genes usually in Gram-positive bacteria. The anticodon of a specific tRNA base pairs to a specifier sequence within the T-box motif, and the NCCA acceptor tail of the tRNA base pairs to a conserved bulge in the T-box antiterminator hairpin. The record is from RNAcentral. Lineage: Bacteria; Bacillati; Bacillota; Bacilli; Caryophanales; Paenibacillaceae.
UCAAACGCGAUGACGAGAAGAGUAGGUCCAUUCAUUCCCUUACAGAGAGCUCCGGGUGGUGCGAAGGAGCAGGGAAGGCUGGACCGAAACAAGCCUCUGAGCGGUGCGCCGGAACCGGCUAUGGCCGGGGAUGGUACAACAGGAGCUCCUGUUACAGAGCUAGAGUAUAAGCCCUGCCUUGCCGGCAGCGCCGUACUUGAUGAGAUUAAUAUGGCGACAUAUUAAUAAACCUGGGGUGGUACCGCGAGAAUCUCGUCCCCAAG